UUGGCAAUCGAGCCUCAGGAUGCAGGGUA
This 29-nucleotide non-coding RNA is filed under the name Rattus norvegicus (Norway rat). Lineage: Eukaryota; Metazoa; Chordata; Mammalia; Rodentia; Muridae. The record is from RNAcentral.